GGCGAGAACGCGCCGCCGCCCACGCUCACCUGAGUGUGGGCGACGGAAAUAGGAGGCCUCACAGAGAAGAUCCACCAAAAUGGAGUCCUGAAGGAAGUAAAUGAAGAUACCUGAGGAAGAGUUCCCCCAAGCAGAGGCAAUAGCCAGAGCAAAGGCUCAAGAAUGAGCAGGGGUUUCAGAGAUCUCCGGCAAGGGUUUGUAUUCCGGGCUGCUCAUGGC
Long non-coding RNA from Nyctereutes procyonoides (raccoon dog), 219 nucleotides. RefSeq lists it as uncharacterized. The transcript has 3 exons. Lineage: Eukaryota; Metazoa; Chordata; Mammalia; Carnivora; Canidae. The record is from RefSeq and is a predicted model, not a curated record.